RNAcentral lists this ribosomal RNA (253 nucleotides) under uncultured bacterium. Its description in RNAcentral is "partial 16S ribosomal RNA". It matches the Rfam family "Bacterial small subunit ribosomal RNA", at positions 524 to 776 of the family's 1533-position model. The record is from RNAcentral.
UACAGAGGGUGCAAGCGUUAAUCGGAUUUACUGGGCGCAAAGCGCGCGUAGGCGGCUAAUUAAGUCAAAUGUGAAAUCCCCGAGCUUAACUUGGGAAUUGCAUUCGAUACUGGUUAGCUAGAGUGUGGGAGAGGAUGGUAGAAUUCCAGGUGUAGCGGUGAAAUGCGUAGAGAUCUGGAGGAAUACCGAUGGCGAAGGCAGCCAUCUGGCCUAACACUGACGCUGAGGUGCGAAAGCAUGGGGAGCAAACAGG